This 1497-nucleotide ribosomal RNA is filed under the name uncultured bacterium. RNAcentral describes it as "bacterial SSU rRNA". It matches the Rfam family "Bacterial small subunit ribosomal RNA". The record is from RNAcentral.
UAGAGUUUGAUCCUGGCUCAGGAUGAACGCUAGCGGGAGGCUUAACACAUGCAAGUCGAGGGGUAUGAUUAGCAAUAGUCAGAGACCGGCGCACGGGUGAGUAACGCGUAUGCAACCUGCCCUUUACAGGGGGAUAGCCCGUCGAAAGGCGGAUUAAUACCCCAUAAUAUUGUACUGCCGCAUGGUAGAACGAUAAAAGCUGAGGCGGUAAAGGAUGGGCAUGCGUGACAUUAGCUGGUUGGUAGGGUAACGGCCUACCAAGGCUACGAUGUCUAGGGGUUCUGAGAGGAAGGUCCCCCACACUGGUACUGAGACACGGACCAGACUCCUACGGGAGGCAGCAGUGAGGAAUAUUGGUCAAUGGGCGCGAGCCUGAACCAGCCAUCCCGCGUGCAGGAAGACGGCCCUAUGGGUUGUAAACUGCUUUUGUGCAGGAAGAAUGUGCCCAUCGUGAUGGGUAGUGACGGUACUGCAUGAAUAAGCACCGGCUAACUCCGUGCCAGCAGCCGCGGUAAUACGGAGGGUGCAAGCGUUAUCCGGAUUUAUUGGGUUUAAAGGGUGCGUAGGCGGUAAGAUAAGUCAGUGGUGAAAAUCUGCAGCUCAACUGUAGUCGUGCCAUUGAAACUGUUUUACUUGAGUAACCAUGAGGUAGGCGGAAUGUGUAGUGUAGCGGUGAAAUGCUUAGAUAUUACACAGAACACCGAUUGCGUAGGCAGCUUACUAGCGGUUCACUGACGCUGAUGCACGAAAGCGUGGGGAUCAAACAGGAUUAGAUACCCUGGUAGUCCACGCCGUAAACGAUGAUAACUCGCUGUUGGCGAUACACAGUCAGCGGCUUAGCGAAAGCGUUAAGUUAUCCACCUGGGGAGUACGCUCGCAAGAGUGAAACUCAAAGGAAUUGACGGGGGCCCGCACAAGCGGAGGAACAUGUGGUUUAAUUCGAUGAUACGCGAGGAACCUUACCUGGGCUUAAAUGUGCUAUGACCGCCGAAGAAAUUUGGCUUUUCGCAAGAACAGAGUACAAGGUGCUGCAUGGUUGUCGUCAGCUCGUGCCGUGAGGUGUCGGGUUAAGUCCCAUAACGAGCGCAACCCUUAUGAUUAGUUGCUAACAGGUCAGGCUGAGGACUCUAGUCAGACUGCCACCGUAAGGUGUGAGGAAGGUGGGGAUGACGUCAAAUCAGCACGGCCCUUAUGUCCAGGGCUACACACGUGUUACAAUGGCCGAUACAGAGGGCAGCUACCCCGCGAGGGGCCGCUAAUCCGGAAAAGUCGGUCUCAGUUCGGAUCGGAGUCUGCAACCCGACUCCGUGAAGCUGGAUUCGCUAGUAAUCGCGCAUCAGCCAUGGCGCGGUGAAUACGUUCCCGGGCCUUGUACACACCGCCCGUCAAACCAUGGGAGCCGAGGGUACCUGAAGUCUGUGACCGCGAGGAGCGGCCUAGGGUAAAAUUGGUGACUAGGGUAAGUCGAACAAGGUACCAAGGGGAAUUGGCCGAUAA